Molecule: ribosomal RNA, 497 nt
Filed under: uncultured bacterium
Lineage: Bacteria
Description: partial 16S ribosomal RNA
Rfam family: Bacterial small subunit ribosomal RNA
Source: RNAcentral
GAUGAACGCUGGCGGCGUGCCUAAUACAUGCAAGUCGAGCGAACAGACGAGGAGCUUGCUCCUCUGACGUUAGCGGCGGACGGGUGAGUAACACGUGGAUAACCUACCUAUAAGACUGGGAUAACUUCGGGAAACCGGAGCUAAUACCGGAUAAUAUAUUGAACCGCAUGGUUCAAUAGUGAAAGACGGUUUUGCUGUCACUUAUAGAUGGAUCCGCGCCGCAUUAGCUAGUUGGUAAGGUAACGGCUUACCAAGGCGCCGAUGCGUAGCCGACCUGAGAGGGGGAUCGGCCACACUGGAACUGAGACACGGUCCAGACUACUAAGGGAGGCAGCAGUAGGGAAUCUUCCGCAAUGGGCGAAAGCUAGACGGAGCAACGCCGCGUGAGUGAUGAAGGUCUUCGGAUCGUAAAACUCUGUUAUUAGGGAAGAACAAAUGUGUAAGUAACUAUGCACGUCUUGACGGUACCUAAUCAGAAAGCCACGGCUAACUACGUG